GCAGCAUGGGCUUCGGCCUGAUGGCGAGUGGCGAACGGGUGAGUAAUGCAUCGGAACGUGCCCAGUCGUGGGGGAUACCGUAGCGAAAGUUACGCUAAUACCGCAUACGACCUGAGGGAGAAAGCGGGGGACCGAAAGGCCUCGCGCGAUUGGAGCGGCCGAUGUCAGAUUAGCUAGUUGGUGGGGUAAAGGCCCACCAAGGCGACGAUCUGUAGCGGGUCUGAGAGGAUGAUCCGCCACACUGGGACUGAGACACGGCCCAGACUCCUACGGGAGGCAGCAGUGGGGAAUUUUGGACAAUGGGGGCAACCCUGAUCCAGCCAUGCCGCGUGCGGGAAGAAGGCCUUCGGGUUGUAAACCGCUUUCGGACAGAAAGAAAUCGCACGGGACAAUACCCUGUGUGGAUGACGGUACUGUAAGAAGAAGCACCGGCUAACUACGUGCCAGCAGCCGCGGUAAU
Molecule: ribosomal RNA, 460 nt
Filed under: uncultured Thiobacillus sp.
Lineage: Bacteria; Pseudomonadati; Pseudomonadota; Betaproteobacteria; Nitrosomonadales; Thiobacillaceae
Description: bacterial SSU rRNA
Rfam family: Bacterial small subunit ribosomal RNA
Source: RNAcentral